RNAcentral lists this ribosomal RNA (451 nucleotides) under Tribolium destructor (large flour beetle). RNAcentral describes it as "partial 16S ribosomal RNA". Lineage: Eukaryota; Metazoa; Arthropoda; Insecta; Coleoptera; Tenebrionidae. The record is from RNAcentral.
UAUGAUGAAUUAAAUGGCCGCAGUAUUUUGACUGUGCAAAGGUAGCAUAAUCAUUAGUUUCUUAAUUAGAAGCUGGAAUGAAUGGUUUGAUGAGAAAUUAACUGUCUCAUUACUAAUGUUUUAGAAUUUAAAUUUUGAGUGAAAAUGCUUAAAUUUAUUAUGAGGACGAGAAGACCCUAUAGAGUUUUAUUAAUAAUUGUUUUAUUUUGGUUUGGAUUAUAAAUUGGUUUUAAUUGGUUAUUAAUUUUGUUGGGGUGAUGUGAAAAUUAGAUAAACUUUUUAUUUUAUUUUACAAUAAUAGUUGAAUUGAUGAUCCUAUGUAUAUAGAUUAUAAGAUUAAGUUACCUUAGGGAUAACAGCGUAAUUUUUUUUGAAAGUUCUUAUUGGAAAAAAAGUUUGCGACCUCGAUGUUGGAUUAAAAUUUAUUUUUGGUGUAGUAGCUAAAAUAUUA